CCUACGGGUGGCAGCAGUGGGGAAUAUUGCUCAAUGGGGGAAACCCUGAUGCAGCGACGCCGCGUGAAGGAAGAAGUAUUUCGGUAUGUAAACUUCUAUCAGCAGGGAAGAAAAUGACGGUACCUGACUAAGAAGCCCCGGCUAACUACGUUCCAGCAGCCGCGGUAAUACGUAGGGAGCAAGCGUUAUCCGGAUUUACUGGGUGUAAAGGGAGCGUAGGCGGUUUAGCAAGUCAGAAGUGAAAGCCCGGGGCUCAACUCCGGGACUGCUUUUGAAACUGUUGAACUAGAGUGCAGGAGAGGUAAGUGGAAUUCCUAGUGUAGCGGUGAAAUGCGUAGAUAUUAGGAGGAACACCAGUGGCGAAGGCGGCUUACUGGACUGUAAAUGACGCUGAGGCUCGAAAGCGUGGGGAGCAAACAGGAUUAGAUACCCCAGUAGUC
RNAcentral lists this ribosomal RNA (440 nucleotides) under uncultured bacterium. Its description in RNAcentral is "partial 16S ribosomal RNA". It matches the Rfam family "Bacterial small subunit ribosomal RNA", at positions 338 to 795 of the family's 1533-position model. The record is from RNAcentral.